Molecule: ribosomal RNA, 433 nt
Filed under: uncultured bacterium
Lineage: Bacteria
Description: partial 16S ribosomal RNA
Rfam family: Bacterial small subunit ribosomal RNA
Source: RNAcentral
AGCGAACGCUGGCGGCAGGCCUAACACAUGCAAGUCGAACGAACUCUUCGGAGUUAGUGGCGGACGGGUGAGUAACACGUUGGAACGUGCCUUUUGGUUCGGAAUAACUCAGGGAAACUUGUGCUAAUACCGAAUGUGCCCUUCGGGGGAAAGAUUUAUCGCCAUUAGAGCGGCCCGCGUCUGAUUAGCUAGUUGGUGAGGUAACGGCUCACCAAGGCGACGAUCAGUAGCUGGUCUGAGAGGAUGACCAGCCACACUGGGACUGAGACACGGCCCAGACUCCUACGGGAGGCAGCAGCGGGGAAUCUUGCGAAAUGGGCGAAAGCCUGACGCAGCCAUGCCGCGUGAAUGAUGAAGGUCUUAGGAUUGUAAAAUUCUUUAAACGGGGACGAUAAUGACGGUACCCGGAGAAGAAGCCCCGGCUAACUUCGUG